GGGAAUGUGGCUUAGUGGUAGAGUGAUUGCCUAGCAUGCAUGAAGCCCUGGGUUCGAUUCCUCAGUACCA
This 70-nucleotide transfer RNA is filed under the name Dipodomys ordii (Ord's kangaroo rat). It matches the Rfam family "tRNA". Rfam says of the family: Transfer RNA (tRNA) molecules are approximately 80 nucleotides in length. The record is from Rfam by way of RNAcentral. Lineage: Eukaryota; Metazoa; Chordata; Mammalia; Rodentia; Heteromyidae.